GACGAACGCUGGCGGCGUGCUUAACACAUGCAAGUCGAACGGUAAGGCCCUUCGGGGUACACGAGUGGCGAACGGGUGAGUAACACGUGGGUGAUCUGCCCUGCACUUCGGGAUAAGCCUGGGAAACUGGGUCUAAUACCGGAUAGGACCAUUGCCUGCAUGGGUGGUGGUGGAAAGCUUUUGCGGUGUGGGAUGGGCCCGCGGCCUAUCAGCUUGUUGGUGGGGUGAUGGCCUACCAAGGCGACGACGGGUAGCCGGCCUGAGAGGGUGACCGGCCACACUGGGACUGAGAUACGGCCCAGACUCCUACGGGAGGCAGCAGGGGGGAAUAUUGCACAAUGGGCGCAAGCCUGAUGCAGCGACGCCGCGUGAGGGAUGACGGCCUUCGGGUUGUAAACCUCUUUCAGCACCGACGAAGCGCAAGUGACGGUAGGUGCAGAAGAAGGACCGGCCAACUACGUGCCAGCAGCCGCAGUAA
RNAcentral lists this ribosomal RNA (478 nucleotides) under uncultured bacterium. RNAcentral describes it as "partial 16S ribosomal RNA". It matches the Rfam family "Bacterial small subunit ribosomal RNA", at positions 28 to 523 of the family's 1533-position model. The record is from RNAcentral.